RNAcentral lists this ribosomal RNA (497 nucleotides) under uncultured bacterium. RNAcentral's name for it is "partial 16S ribosomal RNA". It matches the Rfam family "Bacterial small subunit ribosomal RNA", at positions 28 to 507 of the family's 1533-position model. The record is from RNAcentral.
GAUGAACGCUGGCGGUGUGCCUAAUACAUGCAAGUCGAGCGAACAGACGAGGAGCUUACUCCUCUGACGUUAGCGGCGGACGGGUGAGUAACACGUGGAUAACCUACCUAUAAGACUGGGAUAACUUCGGGAAACCGGAGCUAAUACCGGAUAACAUGUUGAACCGCAUGGUUCGACAGUGAAAGACGGUCUUGCUGUCACUUAUAGAUGGAUCCGCGUCGCAUUAGCUAGUUGGUAAGGUAACGGCUUACCAAGGCAACGAUGCGUAGCCGACCUGAGAGGGUGAUCGGCCACACUGGAACUGAGACACGGUCCAGACUCCUACGGGAGGCAGCAGUAGGGAAUCUUCCGCAAUGGGCGAAAGCCUGACGGAGCAACGCCGCGUGAGUGAAGAAGGUCUUCGGAUCGUAAAACUCUGUUAUUAGGGAAGAACAAAUGUGUAAGUAACUAUGCACGUCUUGACGGUACCUAAUCAGAAAGCCACGGCUAACUACGUG